Molecule: ribosomal RNA, 1802 nt
Filed under: Pinus taeda (loblolly pine)
Lineage: Eukaryota; Viridiplantae; Streptophyta; Pinopsida; Pinales; Pinaceae
Description: SSU rRNA
Rfam family: Eukaryotic small subunit ribosomal RNA
Source: RNAcentral
CCUGGUUGAUCCUGCUAGUAGUCAUAUGGUUGUCUCAAAUAUUAAGCCAUGCAUGUCUAAGUAUGAACUAAUUUAGACUGUGGAACUAUGGAUGGCUCAUUAAAUCAGUUAUAGUUUUUUUGAUGGUACCAUACUACUCGGAUAACCAUAGUAUUUCUAGAGCUAAUAUGCGCACCAAGUCCUGACUCUUUGGAAGGGAUGCAUUUUUUAGAUAAAAUGCUGGUGCAGGCUUGCCGGCUUCUCUGGUGAAUCAUGAUAACUCAACGGAUCACACAACCCUUGUGUUGGCAAUGCUUCAUUCAAAUUUCUUCCCUAUCAACUUUUGAUGGUAGGAUAGAGGCCUACCAUGGUGGUGACUAGUGACAGAGAAUUAGGGUUCGAUUCCAGAGAGGGAGCCUGAGAGAUGGCUACCACAUCCAAGGAAGGCAGCAGGCGUGCAAAUUACCCAAUCCUGACAUGGGGAGGUAGUGACAAUAAAUAACAAUACUGAACUCAUCAAGUCUGGUAAUUGGAAUGAGUACAAUCUAAAUCCCUUAAUGAGAAUCCAUUGGAGGGCAAGUCUGCUGCCAGCAGCCGCGGUAAUUCCAGUUCCAAUAGCAUAUAUUUAAGUUGUUAUAGUUAAAAAGCUCGUAGUUGGAUCUUGGGUCAUAAAGGCCAGUCCGCCUACUCGGUGUGCACCUGCUCUUUCGUCCCUUUUUUCGGUGGUGUGCUCCUAGCCUUAAUUAGCUGGGAUGCAGCUCCGACACUAUUACUUUGAAAAAAUUAGAGUGCUCAAAGAAAGUUUAUGCUUUGAAUACAUUAGCAUGGAAUAACAUGAUAGGAGUCUGAUCCUAUUGUGUUGGCCUUCGAGACCAGAGUAAUGAUUAAUAGGGACUGUCGCGGGCAUUUGUAUUUCAUUGUCAGAGGUGAAAUUCUUGGAUUUAUGAAAGACAGACCACUACGAAAGAAUUUGCCAAGAAUUUUUCAUUAAUCAAGAACGAAAUUUGGGGGCUCGAAGACGAUCAGAUACCAUCCUAGUCUCAACCAUAAAUGAUGCCAACCAGGGAUCGGCAGAUGUUUCUCUAAGGACUUUGGCAGCACCUUCUGAGAAAUCAGAAUGUUUGGGUUCUGGGGGGAGUAUGGUCGCAAGGCUGAAACUUAAAUGAAUUGACAGAAGGGCACCACCAGGAGUGGAGCCUGCGGCUUAAUUUGACUCAACACGGGGAAACUUGCCAGGUCUAGACAUAAUAAGGAUUGACAGAUUAAGAACUUUUUCUUGAUUCUAUGGGUGGUGGUGCAUGGCCGUUCUUAGUUGGUGGAGCGAUUUGUCUGGUUAAUUCCAAUAACAAACGAGACCUCUGCCUGCUAACUAGCUACAUGGAGGUGCCCCUUUGCGACCAACUUCUUAGAGGGACUAUGGCCGUUUAGGCCAUGGAAGUUUGAGGCAAUAAUAGGUCUGUGAUGCCCUUAUAUGUUCUGGGCCGCACACGUGCUACGCUGAUGCAGCCAAUGAGUUUUUCUUCCUGGUUGGAGAGGAUCAAGAAAUCUUCUCAAAUUGCAUCAUGAUAGGGAUAGACCAUUGCAAUUAUUGGUAUUCAACGAGCAAUUCCUAGUAAGCGCAUGUCAUCAACUCGUGUUGACUAUGUCCCUGCCCUUUGUAUACACCACCCGUCGCUCCUACCGAUUGAAUGAUUCGGUGAAGUGUUUGGAUUGUGUCAAUGAUGGUGGUCCACCGCCAUCGACAUCAUGAUAAGUUCAUUGAACGUUAUCAUUUAGAUGAAGGAGAAGUCAUAACAGGGUUACCGUGGGUGAACCUGUGGUAG